AGAGUUUGAUCAUGGCUCAGAUUGAACGCUGGCGGCGUGCCUAACACAUGCAAGUCGAGCGGUAACAGGUGUAGCAAUACAUGCUGACGAGCGGCGGACGGGUGAGCAAUAUUUGGGAAUCUGCCUAUUAGUGGGGGACAACCCGGGGAAACUCGGGCUAAUACCGCAUACGCACUACGGUGGAAAGCCGGGGACCGCAAGGCCUGGCGCUAAUAGAUGAGCCCAAACCGGAUUAGCUAGUUGGUGAGGUAACGGCUCACCAAGGCGACGAUCCGUAGCUGGUCUGAGAGGACGACCAGCCACACCGGAACUGAGACACGGUCCGGACUCCUACGGGAGGCAGCAGUGGGGAAUAUUGGACAAUGGGCGAAAGCCUGAUCCAGCGACGCCGCGUGGGUGAAGAAGGCCUGCGGGUUGUAAAGCCCUUUCGGUGGGGAUAAAAAGCCUUGGUUUAACACACCAGGGUCUUGAUCUAACCCAAGAAAGAAGCACCGGCUAACUCUGUGCCAGCAGCCGCGGUAAUACAGAGGGUGCGAGCGUUAAUCGGAAUUACUGGGCGUAAAGCGCACGUAGGUGGCUUUGCAAGUCGGAUGUGAAAUCCCCGGGCUUAACCUGGGAACUGCAUUCGAGACUGCUCUGCUAGAGUAUGGGAGAGGGAAGUGGAAUUUCCGGUGUAGCGGUGAAAUGCGUAGAUAUCGGAAGGAACAUCAGUGGCGAAGGCGACUUCCUGGACCAAUACUGACACUCAAGUGCGAAAGCGUGGGGAGCAAACAGGAUUAGAUACCCUAGUAGUCC
This 795-nucleotide ribosomal RNA is filed under the name uncultured bacterium. RNAcentral describes it as "bacterial SSU rRNA". It matches the Rfam family "Bacterial small subunit ribosomal RNA", at positions 8 to 796 of the family's 1533-position model. The record is from RNAcentral.